GGAAUUCUUUAGAGAGUUUUUUUAGUUACGUGUACUGGGAAAACACUUCUAAAGUAUAUUUUGGACCUUUGACAAGGAUUUUGCAAGACAUUUCCGCUGGCUUUUUGGCCUGGGCAUAGACCGCCCAUCCUGACUUCAGCUUUCUCAUUUAUAAAGCAGAUAUGCGGCUCCAUAGCUCCAUGCACUGGGUGAAGCUCACUACCUAAGUUUGACCACAGCUGUUCUUGUCCUCUUCAGUGAGAUGAACUCACUAGUCACAGUCUUGGAUGUGGCAAUGUCAAAUUGCUAUAGUAUUUCUAAACACCAACCCUCAUUUUCAGUACUGAUGUAACCAUGG
This is a long non-coding RNA of Cebus imitator (Panamanian white-faced capuchin), 337 nucleotides long. RefSeq lists it as uncharacterized. The transcript is spliced from 3 exons. The record is from RefSeq and is a predicted model, not a curated record. NCBI's taxonomy places the organism in Eukaryota, Metazoa, Chordata, Mammalia, Primates, Cebidae.